This 76-nucleotide transfer RNA is filed under the name Alphaproteobacteria bacterium. RNAcentral describes it as "tRNA-Phe". It matches the Rfam family "tRNA". From Rfam's summary of the family: Transfer RNA (tRNA) molecules are approximately 80 nucleotides in length. Their secondary structure includes four short double-helical elements and three loops (D, anti-codon, and T loops). Further hydrogen bonds mediate the characteristic L-shaped molecular structure. tRNAs have two regions of fundamental functional importance: the anti-codon, which is responsible for specific mRNA codon recognition, and the 3' end, to which the tRNAs corresponding amino acid is attached (by aminoacyl-tRNA synthetases). tRNAs cope with the degeneracy of the genetic code in two manners: having more than one tRNA (with a specific anti-codon) for a particular amino acid; and 'wobble' base-pairing, i.e. permitting non-standard base-pairing at the 3rd anti-codon position. The record is from RNAcentral. Lineage: Bacteria; Pseudomonadati; Pseudomonadota; Alphaproteobacteria. RNAcentral also lists the same sequence under 1 other name.
GGCCAGAUAGCUCAGAUGGUAGAGCAGGGGAUUGAAAAUCCCCGUGUCGGCGGUUCGAUCCCGUCUCUGGCCACCA